ACCGCCUUGCAUUCCUUUUCUUCCUCAACAGUUUUUUCUCUAAAUCUUUUACUCUACCAGUCAGGUUGGAUAUGACUGUCAAUUGUUCUUUCCCUGCUUCCAUUAAUUUCUCCACCAUUUCCCUCAUUUUUUCAUUCUCUUCAACCAGCUUUCUAUCACUUUCCACCUCUAUCUCUUGCCCCUUGACAGCAGAGGAUGCAGGUAACAAAUCUCCCUUCUCCUCGUCAUGCUUAAUUGGAUCGACUUGUACCUCGACUACAAGUUCUCUAUCAGAAGUUUCCAGCCCGUUAUGCUGAUUAGCCACUUUGUCAGAGCCACUCACCAUCUCCACCACACGGAGAUCUUCCUCUUCUUGUAUGAUUUUUUCAUUUCUAUCCCUUGCUGUCAGCUGGGCUACAUUAUCCUGAUCUUCUCCAAUUUGCGCAUCUUCCGCCUUAGAUAAAUUCUCUGCCUGCAGUAACGUGGGGACUCUUUGCAUUUCCUCUGGGAGAGAUUCCUCCAUCUGCUUAUUGUCCUUGUUGAACAACAAUACUUGUGUUUUUUGGGCAUCUCCUUCAGCAAUUGUGGGGCAACCAUCUUCCUUCUCACUAGCAACCUCAGGCCAGCCAUUUGGUUCAGCAACAGAUUGUUUUUCAUCAACCGCUGCCAGCCUCAACUCGCGUUGAAUUAGAACUUCCUUAUCUGGUGAAGUUGCCUCGGUCUCUCUUGGUCCUUCACUGACCAGUUCCGUUGGCUGCUGUUCUGCUCCAGGUAUACUUUGGACCCCACCAUCCAAUGAAGAUGCAUCAAUUGUCGAUUGCCCACCCUCGUGUAGUUCCUGUGGCUGCAGCUCUAAGGCAUUAAUGAAAGCUUCACACUCCACAUCUUCAUCAGCUGAGACUUCGUUAUCCUGAAUUUCAGCUUGUGCGUGUUUCUCAGGUUCUGCAUCAUCAACUACUCCUAUAGGCAAUUCUUUCAGUAAAUUCAUUUCUGGAAUUUCUUCCAGCAAGUUCAUCUCAUCAAUUACCGCAACUGAAGAAGUCAAAUCACUAGAUACAUUUGAUUCCCCCUUUUUGUUCUGUCUCACACCUAUCAUAUUUGUUUGACUUUGUUCCUCAGCAGAAGGAGCAGAUUCCUUGUCAGCAAUUUCUUCUGCCACUUCUUCUGUUCUGCUCUCGUGGGGACUAUUAUCAAUAUGUUUUGAUUCAUUCACCUCAAAUGGUUCAGAUUUUUCCUCAUUAAUUCGGUCACACCAUAUGUUUUCAAUUUGAACUCCUGCCUUCUCCUUAGAACCACUCUUCUCUGACUGCAGUUGGAACGUUUGCUCAGUCUCAGAAGACGCAUCAUUUUCAGCCAUUAGCGCCUUCCCAAACUGGAACUCUCCAUCACCAUUAUCCUCUGGUUCUUCUGAAUGAUAUUCUAGCUUCGUAAAUCCUGGUAAAAGAUCACUUUCAGGUUUCUUCUGCGCCUCUGAGAAGACAAGGGGAGGUUUUGAAGCUUCCGUACCCUGGGUGUCAGACCCUACAUCCAUCAUUUGACAAACAUCAUUAUUUGGAUGUUCUGCUACAUCCCCAUUUUGUUCUCCAUCAAUGCCUGUGAUGUUGUUAAGACCAAUGGAACGAUUUUCAGAAGAUUUAGCUUUAGCAAGUAAAUCAAGCUUUUCUUGCAGUUCUACAAGCUCCCUUGCCAAAGAUUUCCUAACAUCUCUGAGACUUGGGUGCAAGCCCUGUUGGGACAUUUAAAGCAGAAAAAGAAGAGGGAAAAAAAAACAAGAAUCAGAAACUUCCUGCACUUGAAAGAAAAAAGAAAUCACACAAUUUCAAAAGCAGAAUCGUAGUGCCAAAGCCAUAAGCACCAUGUCAAAGCGUUAUAAAAAUAGUUAUACAUAAUGUUUAUGCAGUUAAAAUUAAUAACAAAUGUAUUCAAUGAACCUGCACUGUGUAAAUUUAUAUGGCAUAUAUAUGCUAGGAUGAGCCACCUUGUUCACGUGCACUGUGCCAAUUUAAAUAAGUCAAAAUGUCAUUAAAUGUUACUUAAUGCUUCCAUCAAAAACACAAAUGGAACAAAAUUGAUUAAAAAAUUCUUGUAAUCUUUUAGCAUGACCCUUUUCUUUUCCUUUCAGACACAAAUGAUUACUACACAUGACAUAUGGUGUUUUUGUCUAAUGUGAACCGAAAUUGAUAGUAACCAUACCUGGAUAGUGUCCAAUUUUAGGAGAAGGCUCAUUACCAUUUCUCCAAUCACUGCCCUCUGCCUCUCAUCUUUCUGAAGAUCAGGAGAGGACUCUAAACCACAAAUCUUAUUCCUAACCUCAGCCACCUGCUCACGGACUUCUUCAAUUUGCUUCAGUUUCUUCAGCGGUUCCCAUUUUCUGACUUCAAACCCACGAUAAGCAGACUGGAUACGCACAGCAGCUUCUUCUUCUAAUAGUUCUUUUUUAUCUUCUUUUGAUUUCCCCUUAUCAUUUGCUUUCGCAGUUGCCAGCUUGUCUGCAUCUCUUAAUCCUUUAUCCUCUUUCAUUACGCAGUUCUCAUCAUGUUUUCCCAUCUUCUCUACAGUUAGCCUACUGAAGGCCUCCUUUUCAGAAUCAACCGAAGAAAUAACUGGGAACUGUUGCGUUUGAUAGGCAUUCCUCUGUUCUUCAUCUUUGUCUUCACUGGUCUUACUUUGCAGAACAUUUAUAACUUUGACCUCGUUUUUCUUCCCUUCUGCUUCCAUCCUGCUGCUUGAAGUGCUUUCCUGAGCUUGCAAGUACUGAGAAUUCUUUGAUUUGGAGUCCAGUGAAAUGGGAGCCGUGGGAGUGUCCGUUGCUGUCUCUUUUGAUUGUCUUUUGAAACCAGGAGGACUGGGAGACGUUGAGGUUGUGUUACCAUUCUUCUUCCGAGGUAAGGGAUCAACUCUUAGACAAACAGGAGGUAACUUUGAUGUUUUUGGAGGGGACGAUGACUGCCUUUUUGUCCUAGAUCCAGUAGCUUUUCCCAUAACAUUAUCUCCUUCAUUUUUCAAAGAAACAUCUCUUCCUCUCUGCUCAACAUCUUCAGAGUUGUCCUUCUUCUUAGGUUCUUCUACUUGUUUCACAGGAAUGCUUCUUUGUUUUGAACUUUUUUCCUUCAACUCCAAACCCACCUGGCUGCCAGAAUUCUUAUUAGUCACUUGAGAUUUAUUAAUGCUAUCAUCAUUAUUGGGGCAUCUCACUAGGUGUAACUGGCCACUGGAAGCUGGCUCUUCCACAGACAUUGGAGCGGUGUGCAUCUCCACAUCUUUCUUCUCAGCCUCACCCUGUCUGUUGUGAAAAGGCAUCCAGAUAAUGGGAAAUGGAAAUUGCCUCAUGAUGUCCUCAUUCUUCUGAUCUGCAGUACUCCCAUUUUCACUUGGCAUAAAAGAUUGAAGACUUCUUUUGUCAAGUGGAAACCAGCUACUCCACACUCCAGGAUCUUGUUCAGAGAACUUUAGAAUCUGAGGAGGCUUCUUAUCUACAGAAGCCAUCUCAGAUUUCUCCUCCUUAGCCGCAUCCGCUUCCAAAGACUUUCUAUGCUCUUCAUUCUUCAAAUACUCGGGCGGAAUCCAAAAAACUGGAUAUGGAUGAUUUUUCAAUGGAAAUGGAACUAAAAAGCCAUCCCUAUUAUUUUCAACAUUGGGAUCCUGCUCUUCAAUCCUCACACUUCCACCAUUUCUCUGGUCGUGUGUGUGGUUGCGGCACCCACAACAGUGAUAAUCAUUAUCUCUGGGCUUGUCAAAUUCGUACCUAGGUAGCUCUCUUAAAUAAUGCGGUGGAGGGGCAUAAUGUACAGGGACAGCAUCAGUAUAUGGAGGAUGAUAGCCACAACAAUGGAACUGUGGUGAUGCAAAAUGAAGACAAGGUCCAUAACUAUAAUAACCAGGGAAGUUACCCUCGCGGAAAUAGGGGUAGCACGGAACAGAAUAACCAAAAUUGUUAGGGUAAGGCCAAGGAUGAUUGAUGACCACAGGCUUGGAUGGAUCAACGUUUGCAACAGGUGGAACAGCCUCAAAGCUUGGAUAAUAGUUCUGAUUGAAAUGCAUUUGGUUCCCCUG
RNAcentral lists this long non-coding RNA (4032 nucleotides) under Manihot esculenta (cassava). Its description in RNAcentral is "long non-coding RNA (MESC_LNC000672)". The record is from RNAcentral. Lineage: Eukaryota; Viridiplantae; Streptophyta; Magnoliopsida; Malpighiales; Euphorbiaceae.